AUUUAUUCUCAGGGCAGGGUGUAAUUCCCUACCGGCGGUAAAUCCUCUUUAGGAAAGCCCGCGAGCGCUUCAUUUUGAAGGUCAGCAGAUCUGGUGUAAUUCCAGAGCCGACGGUGACAGUCCGGAUGGAAGAGAGUAAAU
RNAcentral lists this non-coding RNA (141 nucleotides) under Desulfovibrio sp. RNAcentral's name for it is "FMN sequence". It matches the Rfam family "FMN riboswitch aptamer (RFN element)". From Rfam's summary of the family: The RFN element is a highly conserved domain that is found frequently in the 5'-untranslated regions of prokaryotic mRNAs that encode for flavin mononucleotide (FMN) biosynthesis and transport proteins. This element is a metabolite-dependent riboswitch that directly binds FMN in the absence of proteins. Lineage: Bacteria; Pseudomonadati; Thermodesulfobacteriota; Desulfovibrionia; Desulfovibrionales; Desulfovibrionaceae. RNAcentral also lists the same sequence under 1 other name. The record is from RNAcentral.